UCCGUAGGCGGGCAAUUAAGUCAGAGGUGAAAUCCCACAGCUCAACUGUGGAACUGCCUUUGAUACUGGUUGUCUUGAGUUACAGUGAAGUAGAUAGAAUAUGUAGUGUAGCGGUGAAAUGCAUAGAUAUUACAUAGAAUACCGAUUGCGAAGGCAGUCUACUAACUGUAUACUGACGCUAAUGGACGAAAGCGUGGGGAGCAAACCGGAUUAGAUACCCGAGUAGUCC
RNAcentral lists this ribosomal RNA (229 nucleotides) under uncultured bacterium. Its description in RNAcentral is "partial 16S ribosomal RNA". It matches the Rfam family "Bacterial small subunit ribosomal RNA", at positions 568 to 796 of the family's 1533-position model. The record is from RNAcentral.